GCUGUACUCUUAAAUACAUUUUCUAAAUCACAACAUUCUGCUUUCAGGGAGAAAUAUGAGUGGGCAAGUGGCAUCAGCAUUAGGACCUACAAAGCAAGAUUGCUCCCAGGUGGAUGAACCUGUGGUUCCCAGUGUUGAGCAACCUCAACAAGAGGAACCGCCAGCUGAGAUUCAGGAUAUCACACCUAGAAAGGAGGAAGUACAUGUAGAGGAUCCAGUGAAUCGUGAUGAAGAAGAGGAGAAGGAUCCUUUGAAGAUUCUGGCCUGGAAGCUGAUCUCCAGCGAUUGGCUCUGGCAAAGACUGGGGGUGAAGGUGGAGAUGGUCCCGAUGUCAGGGAGGAGUUUGCAUCAAAUAUAGAGCCUGUUGAAAUGCCAGAAGCAGGUGAAGGGCAGCCAUUUGCUUGAAAGAAGAUAAACUGAAACCAUCUAUGCUGUUCUUAUAUUGUGUAUUUGACUAUUAAAUUUCGGUCAAUAAAGUUUCAUUUUCUACUUGCA
Molecule: long non-coding RNA, 495 nt
Filed under: Bos indicus x Bos taurus (hybrid cattle)
Lineage: Eukaryota; Metazoa; Chordata; Mammalia; Artiodactyla; Bovidae
Description: lncRNA (ENSBIXG00005020796.1)
Source: RNAcentral